RNAcentral lists this long non-coding RNA (554 nucleotides) under Gossypium barbadense (sea-island cotton). RNAcentral describes it as "long non-coding RNA (GBAR_LNC009007)". The record is from RNAcentral. Lineage: Eukaryota; Viridiplantae; Streptophyta; Magnoliopsida; Malvales; Malvaceae.
UGGUGCUCUUCUUGUUCAAAUAGUCUUCUUCCAGUCCAUCGUAUCUUGUAGCUUUGGUCCAUUGCAUCUUCUGAUAUAUGUCUUGUAGCUUUAAUCUACUUCAAUGUAACUUCAAAGAUAUGAGAUUUGUAGCUUUGAUCUGCUUCCAUGCAUCUUCAGAAAGAUGAGGUUUACAGCUUUAAUCUGCUCUUCUAUCGCUUUAGUGAGAUAGGGUUUGUGAUCUUCUCUUCUGUAACUCUAAAAAGGCAAGCUUUGAUAUCUUCGAUCAGCUCCACUGCAACUUCAGGGGGACGAGACUUGCAACUUUGACCUACUUUACUGCAACUUCAAGGAGGUCAAAUGGUGUCUUUCAUCAGCUUCAAUCUUUAUUCUUGCUCGGCAUGCGAUCUUGAGCUCAACUCAUUUCUCGCAAUAUGAAUUGACUCUUUAAAAAUAGAUAUUAAAAGGCUCAACUCACAUCUCGCAAUAUGAGUUGACUUUUUGAAAAAUAGAAAUUAAAAGGCUCAACUCAUCUCUUGCAAUAUGAGUUGACUUUUUGAAAAACAGAAAUUAAA